CGAGUUGUAAUCUAGAGAAGCGUCUUCCGCGCUGGACCGUGUACAAGUCUCCUGGAAGGGAGCGUCAUAGAGGGUGAGAAUCCCGUCUUUGACACGGACUGCCAGGGCUAUGUGAUGCGCUCUCGAAGAGUCGAGUUGUUUGGGAAUGCAGCUCAAAACGGGUGGUAAAUUCCAUCUAAAGCUAAAUACAGGCGAGAGACCGAUAGCGAACAAGUACCGUGAGGGAAAGAUGAAAAGAACUUUGGAAAGAGAGUUAAACAGUACGUGAAAUUGCUGAAAGGGAAACGCUUGAUGUCAGUCGCGUCCGCCAGGGAUCAACCUUGCAUUCGUUUGCUGGGCGCAAUUCUUGGUAGGACGGGUCAGCAUCAGUUUCGAUCGUCGUAGAAUGGUCAAGGGAAUGUGGCACCUCCAGGGGUGUGUUAUAGCCCUGGGUCGUAUGCGUCGGUAGGGACUGAGGAACUCGGCACGAACCCCUUUGUGUCUAGGAUGCUGGCAUAAUGGCCUUAAGCGACCCGUCUUGAAACACGGACCAAGGAGUCUAACAUGCCUGCGAGUGUUUGGGUGGUAAAACUCGAGCGCGCAAUGAAAGUGAAAGUCGAGAUCUCUGUCGUGGAGAGCAUCGACGCCCGGACCUGAGUCUUUGACAAAGGAUCUGCGGUAGAGCAUGCAUGUUGGGACCCGAAAGAUGGUGAACUAUGCCUGAAUAGGGUGAAGCCAGAGGAAACUCUGGUGGAGGCUCGUAGCGAUUCUGACGUGCAAAUCGAUCGUCGAAUUUGGGUAUAGGGGCG
RNAcentral lists this ribosomal RNA (788 nucleotides) under Phylloporus subrubeolus. Its description in RNAcentral is "partial large subunit ribosomal RNA". It matches the Rfam family "Eukaryotic large subunit ribosomal RNA", at positions 139 to 925 of the family's 3401-position model. The record is from RNAcentral. Lineage: Eukaryota; Fungi; Basidiomycota; Agaricomycetes; Boletales; Boletaceae.